This 514-nucleotide ribosomal RNA is filed under the name uncultured Bacillota bacterium. Its description in RNAcentral is "bacterial SSU rRNA". It matches the Rfam family "Bacterial small subunit ribosomal RNA", at positions 8 to 526 of the family's 1533-position model. Lineage: Bacteria; Bacillati; Bacillota. The record is from RNAcentral.
AGGGUUUGAUCAUGGCUCAGGACGAACGCUGGCGGCGUGCCUCAAACAUGCAAGUCGAGCGGGGAGAGACCGAACCGUAAGGGGAGGUUGAACCCAGCGGCAAACGGGUGAGUAACACGUGGGUAACCUGCCUGGAAGAACGGGAUAACGGCUUGAAAGAGUCGCUAAUACCGUAUAAUGUCCUGGUGCUGCAUGGCACUGGGAAGAAAGGGGAAACCCGCUUUCGGAUGGGCCCGCGCCCCAUCAGUUAGUUGGUAAGGUAACGGCUUACCAAGGCAACGACGGGUAGCCGGUCUGAGAGGACGAUCGGCCACACUGGGACUGAGAUACGGCCCAGACUCCUACGGGAGGCAGCAGUUGGGAAUCUUAGGCAAUGGGCGAAAGCCUGACCUAGCGACGCCGCGUGAGGGAAGAAGGCCUUCGGGUCGUAAACCUCUGUCAUGGGGGACGAAGGAAGUGACGGUACCCCAGGAGGAAGCCCCUGCUAACUACGUGCCAGCAGCCGCGGUAAUAC